UGGCCUUGACAUAGACAGAAUUUAGUAGAGAUAUAAAAGUGCCAGUUUACUGGAGCUGUUAUACAGGUGCUGCACGGCUGUCGUCAGCUCGUGUCGUGAGAUGUUGGGUUAAGUCCCGCAACGAGCGCAACCCACGUCAUUAGUUACUAACGGUUCGGCCGAGGACUCUAAUGAGACUGCCUGGGUAACCAGGAGGAAGGUGUGGACGACGUCAAGUCAUCAUGGCCCUUACGGCCAGGGCUACACACGUGCUACAAUGGGGUAUACAGAGAGCAGCGAUACCGCGAGGUGGAGCAAAUCUUUAAAAUAUCUCCCAGUUCGGAUAGCACUCUGCAACUCGAGUGCUUGAAGUUGGAAUCGCUAGUAAUCGUAGAUCAGCAAUGCUACGGUGAAUACGUUCCCGGGUCU
RNAcentral lists this ribosomal RNA (408 nucleotides) under uncultured bacterium. RNAcentral describes it as "bacterial SSU rRNA". It matches the Rfam family "Bacterial small subunit ribosomal RNA", at positions 976 to 1381 of the family's 1533-position model. The record is from RNAcentral.